This 502-nucleotide unclassified non-coding RNA is filed under the name Bombus terrestris (buff-tailed bumblebee). RNAcentral's name for it is "misc RNA ENSBTSG00005028318.1". The record is from RNAcentral. Lineage: Eukaryota; Metazoa; Arthropoda; Insecta; Hymenoptera; Apidae.
UAAAAAAGAAAGAAGAAGAAAAGCAAUUCAAUUUGAACAAAUGAAGUUCCAGACAGAAAAAGAAUAACAAAAGAAAAUGCUGAAAGUGGCUCGUUUUUCUAAUACCCAGGCCAGCUGCUAAUACUUUUUGGCCCCUUUAUUUACAAAAGGAUCUGUUUACUUGAAUAAAUUUCAGCAGAAAAUCGAACAGCUCCAACUUUCAUAUUUGUACCGAUAAUUUGCACAGAACGUAUGCACUGAAAAGAGGGCACUAUAUCGGUAAUUAAGCUUCAUCGAUACAGUGAGAUGCUCAAAGAGAUAUGCAAAAAACUAGUGGCCGCCUCGACCGAGGGAUGGAUUCUGGGUUACGUAAAGAGUCACCGGACGUAACAUCACGAACUGUAUGAAGAGUAAAGAAACUAAAUCUUACGUGAAACUUAAACUUCCAGUGCAAUCACGUAAAUUCGUUUCGUAGAACCGUAAUAUCGUCGUGAGAUUGCGAAGAAGCUGUUUGUACUCUUUC